GAAGAGUAUUUUUAAGUUAGCAUAUAUGGAUAAAUAUUAAAAGUAUCCGCAGCGAUAUGCAAUUUUGAAGUUAAAAUGGAAGGAAGGAACUCGGCAAAUCUUAGCUUCGCCUGUUUAUCAAAAACAUGGCUCUCUGUUACUUUAAUAUAGGGAGUCGGACCUGCCCAGUGAAAUUUUUUAACGGCCGCGGUACCCUGACCGUGCAAAGGUAGCAUAAUCAUUUGCCUUAUAAUUGAAGGCUUGUAUGAAUGGUUUGACGGGAGCAUUGCUGUCUCCCUCCCAGUAGAUAGAACUUGACCUUUAGGUGAAGAGGCCUAAAUAUAAUUGAAAGACAAGAAGACCCUGUCGAGCUUUAAAAUUAGAUUAGAGGGAAAUAUAAAAUAGCCUAAAUUUAUAGCUAAUUGGUUUUUUGGUUGGGGCGACCGAGGAACAGCAAGAGCUUCCUUUAUCUAAGCUGACUUAUAGGUAUUGAUCCAGCCUAAAGCUGAUUAAAAAAAUUAGUUACCGCAGGGAUAACAGCAUAAUCUCUCUUAAGAGACCAAAUCGAAAGAGGGGGUUGUGACCUCGAUGUUGGACUAGAAUAUCCUGAAGAUGCAGAAU
This 600-nucleotide ribosomal RNA is filed under the name Sulcospira paludiformis. Its description in RNAcentral is "partial large subunit ribosomal RNA". It matches the Rfam family "Bacterial large subunit ribosomal RNA", at positions 1273 to 2561 of the family's 2925-position model. Lineage: Eukaryota; Metazoa; Mollusca; Gastropoda; Pachychilidae. The record is from RNAcentral.